Molecule: ribosomal RNA, 414 nt
Filed under: Liophloeus gibbus
Lineage: Eukaryota; Metazoa; Arthropoda; Insecta; Coleoptera; Curculionidae
Description: partial large subunit ribosomal RNA
Rfam family: Eukaryotic large subunit ribosomal RNA
Source: RNAcentral
UGAUAGUGCAGCCCUAAGUGGGUGGUAAACUCCAUCUAAGGCUAAAUAUGACCACGAGACCGAUAGCGAACAAGUACCGUGAGGGAAAGUUGAAAAGCACUUUGAAGAGAGAGUUCAAGAGUACGUGAAACCGUUUAGGGGUAAACCUGAGAAACCCGAAAGGUCGAAGGGAGAAAUUCAUUCGCGUUUCGCAGUCGGCGUGAGGCGAUCGAGUGACGGAAUGCGUCUUCGGAUGUUUUCUGCACCUUUUGUUUUUCGAUCCGAUAGCGAACGCGUGCACUUUUCUCCUGGUAGGACGUCGCGAUCCGUUGGGUGUCGGUCUACGGCUCACGGUGGAGCCCGGAUGUACGGCUUGCCGUCACGUCCGGACCCGUGUGUCCCGGCUGACUCGCUCGACGGUAUACGAAAGGUUUA